GGGCGUUUAGCUCAGCUGGGAGAGCGCCACCCUUACAAGGUGGAUGUCGGGGGUUCAAACCCCUCAACGCCCACCA
Molecule: transfer RNA, 76 nt
Filed under: Bacteriovoracaceae bacterium
Lineage: Bacteria; Pseudomonadati; Bdellovibrionota; Bacteriovoracia; Bacteriovoracales; Bacteriovoracaceae
Description: tRNA-Val
Rfam family: tRNA
About the family: Transfer RNA (tRNA) molecules are approximately 80 nucleotides in length. Their secondary structure includes four short double-helical elements and three loops (D, anti-codon, and T loops). Further hydrogen bonds mediate the characteristic L-shaped molecular structure. tRNAs have two regions of fundamental functional importance: the anti-codon, which is responsible for specific mRNA codon recognition, and the 3' end, to which the tRNAs corresponding amino acid is attached (by aminoacyl-tRNA synthetases). tRNAs cope with the degeneracy of the genetic code in two manners: having more than one tRNA (with a specific anti-codon) for a particular amino acid; and 'wobble' base-pairing, i.e. permitting non-standard base-pairing at the 3rd anti-codon position.
Source: RNAcentral